Molecule: small nuclear RNA, 106 nt
Filed under: Moschus moschiferus (Siberian musk deer)
Lineage: Eukaryota; Metazoa; Chordata; Mammalia; Artiodactyla; Moschidae
Source: RNAcentral
GUGCUCGCUUCGGCGCACAUAUACUAAAAUUGGAAUGAUACAGAGAAGAUUAGCAUGGCCCCUGCAUGAGGACGACACGCAAAUUUGUGAAGCGUUCCAUAUUUUU